Molecule: small RNA, 124 nt
Filed under: Marmota monax (woodchuck)
Lineage: Eukaryota; Metazoa; Chordata; Mammalia; Rodentia; Sciuridae
Source: RNAcentral
GCCAGGCAUGGUGGCGCACACCUGUAAUCCCAGUGGCUUGGAGGUUGAGGCAGGAGGAUCUCGAGUUCAAAGCCAGCCUCAGCAAUUGCAAGGUGCUAAGCAACUCAGUGAGACCCUGUCUCUA